GCAGAAGGGCCUGGCAGAAUAAAGUUGCUUAGCUCAUAGUGGCCAGGAAGCAGAGAGGGGAAUUGUGCCAAUGAGGUGGGUGAGGGACCAGAAGAAGACGCACCCAGAAACACUCCAAAGUAUGCUUUACUAAUUCCUACAGCAACCCCCAAGUCAGUCCAGUUGGCAAUUAAAGUUAACCAUCACAGUAGCUAGGUGUGAGGCAAAAAACUGAAUCAGGCUUAAGCCUUGCCUACAUAAAGAUGCUGGCUGCCAGCCUUUCUCACGGGACUCUUAUGAGGGCUUGAAGCUGAUAAAGAACUCCUCCAAAGAGUUGUCAAGAGGCCUCUCAGCUGCCGUUUUUGAACACAUGAAGCAUGGCUGCCAACGAAACACCUCAGUGAGGCACCUGCCUCCCUAUGUGACGAGAAGCCCUUCCUGUUCAAGUAUGGAUGAGUCACCCCAAUAAAAAG
This is a long non-coding RNA of Fukomys damarensis (Damara mole-rat), 452 nucleotides long. RefSeq lists it as uncharacterized. NCBI's taxonomy places the organism in Eukaryota, Metazoa, Chordata, Mammalia, Rodentia, Bathyergidae. The transcript has 3 exons. The record is from RefSeq and is a predicted model, not a curated record.